Callithrix jacchus (white-tufted-ear marmoset) is the source of this 166-nucleotide small nuclear RNA. Its record names the gene U1. It matches the Rfam family "U1 spliceosomal RNA". Rfam says of the family: U1 is a small nuclear RNA (snRNA) component of the spliceosome (involved in pre-mRNA splicing). Its 5' end forms complementary base pairs with the 5' splice junction, thus defining the 5' donor site of an intron. The record is from Ensembl. NCBI's taxonomy places the organism in Eukaryota, Metazoa, Chordata, Mammalia, Primates, Cebidae.
AAAUGGGUGUCUCAGGGGUGAUACCAUGAUCAUGAAGGUGGUUUUCCCAGGGUGAGGCUUAUCCAUUGCACUCCAGAUGUGCUGACCCCUGUGACUCCCCAAAUGUGGGAAACUCGACGACUGCAUGAUUUGUGAUAGUGGGGGACUGCGUUCGCGCUUUCCCCAG